This 226-nucleotide ribosomal RNA is filed under the name uncultured bacterium. RNAcentral describes it as "partial 16S ribosomal RNA". It matches the Rfam family "Bacterial small subunit ribosomal RNA", at positions 538 to 763 of the family's 1533-position model. The record is from RNAcentral.
GCGUUGCUCGGAAUUACUGGGCGUAAAGGGCGCGUAGGCGGAUCGUUAAGUCAGAGGUGAAAUCCCGGAGCUCAACUUCGGAACUGCCUUUGAUACUGGCGAUCUUGAGUGUGAGAGAGGUAUGUGGAACUCCGAGUGUAGAGGUGAAAUUCGUAGAUAUUCGGAAGAACACCAGUGGCGAAGGCGACAUACUGGCUCAUUACUGACGCUGAGGCGCGAAAGCGUG